RNAcentral lists this ribosomal RNA (482 nucleotides) under uncultured bacterium. RNAcentral describes it as "bacterial SSU rRNA". It matches the Rfam family "Bacterial small subunit ribosomal RNA", at positions 30 to 506 of the family's 1533-position model. The record is from RNAcentral.
UUGAACGCUGGCGGCAUGCCUUACACAUGCAAGUCGAACGGCAGCGCGGGGGCAACCCUGGCGGCGAGUGGCGAACGGGUGAGUAAAAUAUCGGAACGUGCCCUGAAGUGGGGGAUAACGUAGCGAAAGUUACGCUAAUACCGCAUACGAUCUAAGGAUGAAAGUGGGGGAUCGCAAGACCUCAUGCUUUAGGAGUGGCCGAUAACUGAUUAGCUAGUUGGUGAGGUAAAGGCUCACCAAGGCGACGAUCAGUAGCUGGUCUGAGAGGACGACCAGCCACACUGGGACUGAGACACGGCCCAGACUCCUACGGGAGGCAGCAGUGGGGAAUUUUGGACAAUGGGGGCAACCCUGAUCCAGCAAUGCCGCGUGUGUGAAGAAGGCCUUCGGGUUGUAAAGCACUUUUGUCAGGGAAGAAACGGCUGGGGCUAAUACCUCUGGCUAAUGACGGUACCUGAAGAAUAAGCACCGGCUAACUACGU